This 271-nucleotide ribosomal RNA is filed under the name uncultured archaeon. Its description in RNAcentral is "partial 16S ribosomal RNA". It matches the Rfam family "Archaeal small subunit ribosomal RNA", at positions 728 to 998 of the family's 1478-position model. The record is from RNAcentral.
AUUAGAUACCCGCGUAGUCCUAGCCGUAAACGAUACUCGCUAGGUGUCGGCCACGGUGCGACCGUUGUCGGUGCCGUAGGGAAGCCGUGAAGCGAGCCACCUGGGAAGUACGGCCGCAAGGCUGAAACUUAAAGGAAUUGGCGGGGGAGCACCACAACAGGUGGAGCCUGCGGUUUAAUUGGACUCAACGCCGGGCAGCUCACCGGGUAGGACAGCGAUAUGAUAGUCGGGCUGAAGACUCUACUUGAUCAGCUGAGAGGUGGUGCAUGGC